AUGCCAGGGCAUUGCUGGUUUGCAGAUUUCAGUGUUUGCCUGGCAUCUUCUCCCGAGUGUUGUGGCAAAGUGGCUGCGCUGGCAGCACCUGAGGAGCACCUGGUCUGAGACAGCACUGCUCCGUGCCAGAGCAGGGGGUUUUCCAAGGGCCAGUUGGUAAUUUCUUUGCUGAGGGUCAGUUUGCCAUGGCUUGGUUUGGGCUCAGCCAGCAGCUCUGCAGUGCACAGAGCAGGUGAAGGGACACCAGGGACCAGGUGUACUCCCAGAGGCAGCAGGGUGAGAUCUGGGAGUGAUCCCGGCUGGAAAAGGUUGGGAAAAGGAGGUGCACCACAGGAAUUGAGAGGAGCUGAAAAAGGUUGGGAAAAGGAGGUGCACCACAGGAAUUCAGAGGAGCUGGAAAAGGUUGGGAAAAGGAGAUGCACCACAGGAAUUGAGAGGAGCUGGAAAAGGUUGGGAAAAGGAGGUGCACCACAGGAAUUGAGAGGAGCUGGAAAAGGUUGGGAAAAGGAAUUUCCUGCACCACAGGAAUUGAGAGGAGCUGGAGCCAAGCCAAAGCCUGCAGGUGCACCGCGCUGCGGGAGACACCGGAGAUGGCACGGAGGACUCGCCGUGGGACAGGGAGGAGGUGGAGAGAGCCUGCCUGCGGUCCGAGCAGAGGCUGGAGGUGCAGGAGCAGCUGCUUGCCCUGCGGCACUGGCUGGACGCCGUGGAGAAGCGGCUGCUGGCGCUGCCGGAGCCCGGCACGGCCCU
This is a long non-coding RNA of Serinus canaria (Common canary), 750 nucleotides long. RefSeq lists it as uncharacterized. Lineage: Eukaryota; Metazoa; Chordata; Aves; Passeriformes; Fringillidae. The transcript has 3 exons. The record is from RefSeq and is a predicted model, not a curated record.